UCCGGAGAGCUGCUGCAAUUCCGACACCAGUGUGUGUUGGGCUUUUGUGAAACAGAGCAACGGUCAGGUUUUUUGGAGAGGACAGAAAAGUCCAAGGACCAGGACGAUAUUCUGGUUGUGAUAGAUGGCGAGCCAACCACUUUGAGGAGGAUCUACCCCAGAGAAGAUACACAACCACACACUCAUACAUUCCAAUUACACUCACAAGGACCUUUGAAGUUAGCUAUCGCCAGCUUAACUCUAAAUUCUUAAAGGGCCCCAACGAGUACUUUUAUUUUAUUUCAGUGUGCACACUAUUUAUUUUAUUUUAUACUGUAUCUGUACAAAUUGGACAAAUAUCUGUUAUAUCUUGUAACAAUACAAGAGUGGCUACUCAAAAGUU
Long non-coding RNA from Oreochromis aureus, 382 nucleotides. RefSeq lists it as uncharacterized. Lineage: Eukaryota; Metazoa; Chordata; Actinopteri; Cichliformes; Cichlidae. The record is from RefSeq and is a predicted model, not a curated record. The transcript has 2 exons.